This 1337-nucleotide ribosomal RNA is filed under the name uncultured bacterium. RNAcentral's name for it is "bacterial SSU rRNA". It matches the Rfam family "Bacterial small subunit ribosomal RNA", at positions 28 to 1381 of the family's 1533-position model. The record is from RNAcentral.
GACGAACGCUGGCGGCGUGCUUAACACAUGCAAGUCGAACGGAAAGGCCCUUCGGGGUACUCGAGUGGCGAACGGGUGAGUAACACGUGGGUGAUCUGCCCUGCACUUUGGGAUAAGCCUGGGAAACUGGGUCUAAUACCGAAUAGGACCACGCGCUUCAUGGUGUGUGGUGGAAAGCUUUUGCGGUGUGGGAUGGGCCCGCGGCCUAUCAGCUUGUUGGUGGGGUAAUGGCCUACCAAGGCGACGACGGGUAGCCGGCCUGAGAGGGUGACCGGCCACACUGGGACUGAGAUACGGCCCAGACUCCUACGGGAGGCAGCAGUGGGGAAUAUUGCACAAUGGGCGCAAGCCUGAUGCAGCGACGCCGCGUGAGGGAUGACGGCCUUCGGGUUGUAAACCUCUUUCAAUAGGGACGAAGCGCAAGUGACGGUACCUAUAGAAGAAGCACCGGCCAACUACGUGCCAGCAGCCGCGGUAAUACGUAGGGUGCGAGCGUUGUCCCGAAUUACUGGGCGUAAAGAGCUCGUAGGUGGUUUGUCGCGUUGUUCGUGAAAACUCACAGCUUAACUGUGGGCGUGCGGGCGAUACGGGCAGACUAGAGUACUGCAGGGGAGACUGGAAUUCCUGGUGUAGCGGUGGAAUGCGCAGAUAUCAGGAGGAACACCGGUGGCGAAGGCGGGUCUCUGGGCAGUAACUGACGCUGAGGAGCGAAAGCGUGGGGAGCGAACAGGAUUAGAUACCCUGGUAGUCCACGCCGUAAACGGUGGGUACUAGGUGUGGGUUCCUUCCUUAGGAUCCGUGCCGUAGCUAACGCAUUAAGUACCCCGCCUGGGGAGUACGGCCGCAAGGCUAAAACUCAAAGGAAUUGACGGGGGCCCGCACAAGCGGCGGAGCAUGUGGAUUAAUUCGAUGCAACGCGAAGAACCUUACCUGGGUUUGACAUGCACAGGACGCCGGCAGAGAUGUCGGUUCCCUUGUGGCCUGUGUGCAGGUGGUGCAUGGCUGUCGUCAGCUCGUGUCGUGAGAUGUUGGGUUAAGUCCCGCAACGAGCGCAACCCUUGUCCUAUGUUGCCAGCGGGUUAUGCCGGGGACUCGUAGGAGACUGCCGGGGUCAACUCGGAGGAAGGUGGGGAUGACGUCAAGUCAUCAUGCCCCUUAUGUCCAGGGCUUCACACAUGCUACAAUGGCCGGUACAAAGGGCUGCGAUGCCGUGAGGUGGAGCGAAUCCUUUCAAAGCCGGUCUCAGUUCGGAUCGGGGUCUGCAACUCGACCCCGUGAAGUCGGAGUCGCUAGUAAUCGCAGAUCAGCAACGCUGCGGUGAAUACGUUCCCGGGCCU